AGACUGCAAGGCUAGAAUCUGGCAGAGGGGGGUAGAAUUCCACGUGUAGCAGUGAAAUGCGUAGAUAUGUGGAGGAACACCGAUGGCGAAGGCAGCCCCCUGGGUCAAGAUUGACGCUCAUGCACGAAAGCGUGGGGAGCAAACAGGAUUCGAUACCGUGGUAGUCCACGCCCUAAACGAUGUCUAGUAGUUGUCGGGUCUUAAUUGACUUGGUAACGCAGCUAACGCGUGAAGUAGACCGCGUGGGGAGUACGGUCGCAAGAUUAAAACUCAAAGGAAUUGACGGGGACCCGCACAAGCGGUGGAUGAUGUGGAUUAAUUCGAUGCAACGCGAAAAACCUUACCUACCCUUGACAUGGCUGGAAUCCUUGAGAGAUCAGGGAGUGCUCGAAAGAGAACCAGUACACAGGUGCUGCAUGGCUGUCGUCAGCUCGUGUCGUGAGAUGUUGGGUUAAGUCCCGCAACGAGCGCAACCCUUGUCAUUAGUUGCUACGAAAGGGCACUCUAAUGAGACUGCCGGUGACAAACCGGAGGAAGGUGGGGAUGACGUCAAGUCCUCAUGGCCCUUAUGGGUAGGGCUUCACACGUCAUACAAUGGUACAUACAGAGCGCCGCCAACCCGCGAGGGGGAGCUAAUCGCAGAAAGUGUAUCGUAGUCCGGAUUGUAGUCUGCAACUCGACUGCAUGAAGUUGGAAUCGCUAGUAAUCGCGGAUCAGCAUGUCGCGGUGAAUACGUUCCCGGGUCUUGUACACACCGCCCGUCACACCAUGGGAGCGGGUUCACCAGAAGUAGGUAGCUUAACCCUAAGGAGGGCGCUAUCACUGUGUCG
RNAcentral lists this ribosomal RNA (830 nucleotides) under Janthinobacterium lividum. Its description in RNAcentral is "bacterial SSU rRNA". It matches the Rfam family "Bacterial small subunit ribosomal RNA", at positions 630 to 1467 of the family's 1533-position model. Lineage: Bacteria; Pseudomonadati; Pseudomonadota; Betaproteobacteria; Burkholderiales; Oxalobacteraceae. The record is from RNAcentral.